GCGUACCUUUUGGAUAAUGGGUCAGCGACUUAUAUUCUGUAGCAAGGUUAACCGUAUAGGGGAGCCGCAGGGAAACCGAGUCUUAACUGGGCGUUAAGUUGCAGGGUAUAGACCCGAAACCCGGUGAUCUAGCCAUGGGCAGGUUGAAGGUUGGGUAACACUAACUGGAGGACCGAACCGACUAAUGUUGAAAAAUUAGCGGAUGACUUGUGGCUGGGGGUGAAAGGCCAAUCAAACCGGGAGAUAGCUGGUUCUCCCCGAAAGCUAUUUAGGU
RNAcentral lists this ribosomal RNA (274 nucleotides) under Acinetobacter baumannii. RNAcentral's name for it is "partial 23S ribosomal RNA". It matches the Rfam family "Bacterial large subunit ribosomal RNA", at positions 599 to 875 of the family's 2925-position model. Lineage: Bacteria; Pseudomonadati; Pseudomonadota; Gammaproteobacteria; Moraxellales; Moraxellaceae. The record is from RNAcentral.